AGCGAACGCUGGCGGCAGGCCUAACACAUGCAAGUCGAACGAACCUUUCGGGGUUAGUGGCGGACGGGGGAGUAACACGUGGGAACGUGCCCGUAGGUUCGGAAUAACUCAGGGAAACUUGUGUUAAUACCGAAUGUGCCCUUCGGGGGAAAGAUUUAUCGCCUUUGGAGCGGCCCGCGUCUGUUUAGCUAGUUGGGUGAGGUAAUGGCUCACCAAGGCGACGAUCAGUAGCUGGGCUGAGAGGAGGAUCAGUCACAUUGGGACUGCGACACGGCCCACACUGCUACGGGGGGCUGCAGUAGGGAAUCUUGCGGGAUGAGGGAAAGCGUGACGCAGCCAUGCCGGGUGAAUGGUGAAGGUCUUAGGAUUCUAAAAUUCUUUGAGCCGAGGCGAUAAUGACGGUACCCGGUAAAGAAGCCCCGGCUAACUUCGUG
RNAcentral lists this ribosomal RNA (434 nucleotides) under uncultured bacterium. Its description in RNAcentral is "partial 16S ribosomal RNA". It matches the Rfam family "Bacterial small subunit ribosomal RNA", at positions 29 to 507 of the family's 1533-position model. The record is from RNAcentral.